This 72-nucleotide transfer RNA is filed under the name Marmota monax (woodchuck). RNAcentral's name for it is "tRNA.Ala". The record is from RNAcentral. Lineage: Eukaryota; Metazoa; Chordata; Mammalia; Rodentia; Sciuridae.
GAGGGUGUGGCUCAGUGGUAGAAUUUGUGCUUAGCAUGUAUGAGCCCUGGGUUCCAUUCCCAGCAUCACUUA